ACGGGAGGCAGCAGUGGGGAAUAUUGGGCAAUGGGGGAAACCCUGACCCAGCAACGCCGCGUGAAGGAAGAAGGCUUUCGGGUUGUAAACUUCUUUUACCAGGGACGAAGGACGUGACGGUACCUGGAGAAAAAGCCACGGCUAACUACGUGCCAGCAGCCGCGGUAAUACGCAGGUGGCAAGCGUUGUCCGGAUUUACUGGGUGUAAAGGGCGUGUAGGCGGAGCAGCAAGUCAGAAGUGAAAUCUCCGGGCUUAACCCGGAGACUGCUUUUGAAACUGUUGCCCUUGAGUAUCGGAGAGGCAGGCGGAAUUCCUAGUGUAGCGGUGAAAUGCGUAGAUAUUAGGAGGAACACCAGUGGCGAAGGCGGCCUGCUGGACGAAAACUGGCUCUGCGGCGCGCAAGCGUGGGGAGCAAACGGGAUUAGGUACCCUGGUA
RNAcentral lists this ribosomal RNA (437 nucleotides) under uncultured Oscillospiraceae bacterium. Its description in RNAcentral is "partial 16S ribosomal RNA". It matches the Rfam family "Bacterial small subunit ribosomal RNA", at positions 341 to 792 of the family's 1533-position model. The record is from RNAcentral. Lineage: Bacteria; Bacillati; Bacillota; Clostridia; Eubacteriales; Oscillospiraceae.